UGUAUGUUUGUUAAACAAUUGGGAAUCGAGACAUUUUUUCAUCAACAUCGUUUCCAUCGUUUCAUCUCCAAUUGGGAAUCGUUCAAUCUUUUCAUCUCCAUCUUCUCACGAUCAAAUUUUCAAAAAAGAGAGUAAAAUCAAGUUCAAUACUUCUUCAAUCAACCGAAUCUUGAAGAGAAAACAAAAAUUUGUGACAUGAGAGAAGCUCCGAUUAGUUGAAUCAAUUGGGUUUGUCUAUGAAGAUGAUGGUGCUAUCAAUCGGUUGAUUCAGUUUUCACCCAUGGCUUUAUCGAUCAGAUUUAUCUUACCAAUUGGAUUGUACAUGUGAAAGCCUAUACUAUCAACCGAAAGAUAUAUAUGAAGACAUCAUGAUAUUCGUAAGAUAAGUAGUUGUUUCUUAAAAUGUUUUUAAUUGUUUUUUAUUGGAAUAUUACAUCUUUACUGAUUAAUUUGUUUUGCAAUUUAAUCCAGGAAAUGAAAUGAGAAGUACUUCCAGGAAUUCUGAAGUUUAUUACAAUAGAGUAUAAUGACAUGAAGCCAUAAACAGAGAUUGAUUAACGUUUUUUGGAGGAAAAGUUAUUGAUAAGAGAGGAUAAGUUUUAGCAGAGAAAAAAUUGAAGCUUCUUCAAUGACCUUCUCAAAGUCAACCAGUUGGAGGAACAUGUCAUUAGUCAAGGACGCACAUGGCACCAUGGAGGUGAUGUUGAUCAACGUCAUACGAUCUAUGGUAGGGACGUUCUCGGCAGCCAUUGGAGAAGGUUUGAAAGAAGAAAGGAGAAAGAGAAGAAGUUAAGGAUUUGAAAUAAAUUGGAGUAUGAAUUAGGAAUGAAAGACAUAACUAAAAACGCGGUUUGGCUUAUUUCCGGAGACCCAAAAUAGCCCAUUUUUACAUCAAUACAUACCCGGAUAUCCAAUUGUUAAUUGUCGGGUAAAGCCAAGCAUAGUGAUAGUGUGUAACGUGUUUCUGUUUCCAACAUGCUGACGAUGAUGCUGCUGCUGGUAAAACAAAUAACAACAUUACUUUAUUUUGCGUCAUCUUACGGUAUUAUAUCGUUCUUCAUAUCGUUGACAUGAAUGACUUUUAAUUUUCUUGUGGGUGUUUGAACAUGAAUGAUUGAUUGUUGAAUAUGGUGGAGAGAUAAGCAUCAAAGCAUUGGUGGGAACAAGUGAGACCCCACCCCAUCCCACCCUCAUUUUCAUAGUAUUAAACCCUUCCCCAAUAGGCCAACUCCAAUACCCAUCCCAGUAUCCCAUAUGUCUAAUCACACGUUAUUUUUGCUGGUGAUCGUUCUCAGUAGCAAUACUGUUGAUAUAUAGGAUUGUCAAUUUGUGUACCACUGCCACUACCACCCAUACUCAUUCGUUGUAAAUAUUGGCUUCUUUUGCGGUCCUUCAUAAUCAUUAGCGAGUAAGUUCCACUUCAGUCGAAAAACUCGGUUUUGUAUAUGCAUUGAAUU
This is a non-coding RNA of Camelina sativa (false flax), 1457 nucleotides long. The record is from RefSeq and is a predicted model, not a curated record. NCBI's taxonomy places the organism in Eukaryota, Viridiplantae, Streptophyta, Magnoliopsida, Brassicales, Brassicaceae.